Molecule: small RNA, 892 nt
Filed under: Pan troglodytes (chimpanzee)
Lineage: Eukaryota; Metazoa; Chordata; Mammalia; Primates; Hominidae
Description: retained intron
Source: RNAcentral
GGCCGUCUCUGGAGAGCAGCAGCCAUGGCCCUACGCUACCCUAUGGCCGUGGGCCUCAACAAGGGCCACAAAGUGACCAAGAACGUGAGCAAGCCCAGGCACAGCCGCCGCCGCGGGGUGAGUGCGGGGGCCGCGCGGAGGUUGUCGGGGGUUUCUUGGAGGGCGGAGGGCAUGGCUUGGGCAAAGGCUCUCGACCUGAAAGAACGCGCGUUCGGGCGCAGAACUAAGGGGGGCUUGAAUGGAAGAGAUGGGGCGGGGGAGUGGGACUUCCUGCCUGGUGCUCGAAGGCGGGCACCCAUCUGGGUUUUUCCUAACCGUGCAAUCCACGCUGGGGCAGAGGGAGCACCUUGAGAGCGGCGCGGGGCAGCGGGUUUGGGGUUCUGACGCAGGAGUAGGAGUUCGCUCAUGGAGCUGGCCCGAGGUUGCGGUGUGUGAGGUUGAGGGAUUUCAGGUGUGUCAGUGUAUUGGGCGCCAUUAUUCAGCGGGCAGCGGGUUUGGGGUUCUGACGCAGGAGUAAGGAGUUCGCUCAUGGAGCUGGCCCAAGGUUGAGGGAUUUCAGGUGUGUCAGUGUAUUGGGCGCCUUUAUUCAGCAGGCAGCCCAGGCUCCAGGUGCGUCCUGCCAGUGUUGCGGAGACUGGGACUUAGGGAGGAUGGGGGCUGCUCCGGGCGCGGUGAAAAGCGCUAGGCGUUAAUACCUUGGUUCUCACAGCUACCCACAGAGGGGAGGAAGUAGCCAGGGAAAUCGCGGCAGCGCGAGAGAAGCUGCUUAACUAGAAUGCAGGGAUCCCCCUAUCCUGACGGCCGCCCCUUUCCCCCCCAGCGUCUGACCAAACACACCAAGUUCGUGCGGGACAUGAUUCGGGAGGUGUGUGGCUUUGCCCCGUACGAGCGG